UACGUAGGGGGCGAGCGUUGUCCGAAGUUACUGGGCGUAAAGAGCGCGUAGGCGGGCUUCUAAGUGAGAGGUGAAAGGUUCGGGCUCAACCCGGAGAGUGCCUUUCAUACUGGGAGCCUUGAGUACGGGAGAGGCAAGUGGAAUGGUCGGUGUAGCGGUGAAAUUCGUAGAUAUCGGGAGGAACACCGGUGGCGAAGGCGGCGACCUGGGUAGAUACUGACGCUGAGGUGCGAAAGCGUGGGGAGCAAACAGG
This 253-nucleotide ribosomal RNA is filed under the name uncultured bacterium. RNAcentral describes it as "partial 16S ribosomal RNA". It matches the Rfam family "Bacterial small subunit ribosomal RNA", at positions 524 to 776 of the family's 1533-position model. The record is from RNAcentral.